GACAUGCCCAAAUAACGUACAAGGACAACAUGAUGCUGCACCCCAUGGCCUUAAGUUGUGCUGGAGAGGUUCAGGUUGGAUAUUAGGAAACAUUUUUUUUCUGAAAGAGCAGUGAGGCAGUGGCACAGGCUUCCCAGGGAGUGGUGGAGUCACUGUGCCUGGAGGUGUAUGAGAAAAGUGUAGAUGUGGCACUGAGGGAUGUGGUUUAGAGCAGUCACAGGCAUGGGCUAGUUGGACUAGAUUCUCUUACUGGUCUUUCCAACCUUAAUGAUUCUGUCAUUCUGUGAUUCUAUGAGGUCCUGCCUGGUACCUGCCUUCAUGCUAUCACCUCUCUUCCUUAUGGCCUUGAUGAGAUUUUUGGGAGAAGGGAGGGGAGUUCUACCAUCUCUGAAGCAGAGAGAGAGAAAAAAAGAAAAGAUAAAAGGUACAGUUUCAAGACCCAGGUCAGAGUGAAUUACUGAGUCUGAGAGGCGCAGGGCAACCAAAGGGACAGGAGUACAUGGCAUCCCAUGACUGUCAGGGAACAAG
Molecule: long non-coding RNA, 528 nt
Filed under: Chrysolophus pictus (golden pheasant)
Lineage: Eukaryota; Metazoa; Chordata; Aves; Galliformes; Phasianidae
Description: lncRNA (ENSCPIG00010000379.1)
Source: RNAcentral